Halichondria panicea is the source of this 1108-nucleotide long non-coding RNA. RefSeq lists it as uncharacterized. NCBI's taxonomy places the organism in Eukaryota, Metazoa, Porifera, Demospongiae, Suberitida, Halichondriidae. The record is from RefSeq and is a predicted model, not a curated record. The transcript has 6 exons.
GCUAAGUGAAUGCGAGAAUGGAAGAUCACUCUAGCUUCGACUUCAUGAGCUUCAACAGUCAAGAGUUGAAGACUAGUCCUUUCAAACAGGGGUCAGUGAUAGCUAUAAGCUAUAAGCUGGUAUGCAUAAUGACUUUAGUCUUCUUAUCAUUAUGUCCAUCAUCUCCACACACACACAUGCUGCAUAAUCUACUGUUCCAUGGGCUGGACAAGACUAGAUCUACAUUCUCUUCUGGCAUGUAACUUCAGCGGGAUCAGGUGGCGUAUACGGCACCGGAUGUGGACACGCCCUAAUUUUUGUUAUUUUCCCUAAGCUAACCCAAAUCCCUCCCCCUUCAAAAUUACAUCCAGUGCCGUAUAUGCCACCUGACCCCUUUAGCGUAGAUGACUCUGCUGACCGUGGCAGACGAGGAGGGUAUUGUGGGACAGUGUACGACACAGGAGAAAACUUUCUGAAUUUAUCUCCGGGAAUGUAGAAUGGCAAAUUUUUCCGGGGGCGACACACUCCUCAUUUCAAAGACUUUAAGCCCUAUGACACCCUUGACUGUGGUACUGAAACCAUAUUACACCCAGCACAGAGACGGCCAGAUACAAAAUGGCCGCAAUAAAGUAACCAGUAGUGCAUCUAGUGUGACAGCUGUGGUCUUCCAUGGAGACGAGAUAGCUUCUUGUGGAAUCAGUGAUUGUGUUGUGAAGUUAUGAGACAUGUGACGAUACUACACAAACUGGCACAAACGUACCUCACCCUCCUGCUGACAUUCAUUUGCCUCCGUGAAGAGAGGGGGCGUGUCUACCAGUUCAACUCCCUCGUGGCUGACACCCAUCAGAGCUGUAUCUAUGCCAGUGCAUGCCACUGAUGACAUGUGAAUGUGAGGAACUCCCGAGCUCCAGUCCCCCCCUCUACUGCUCCAUAGUCACAGCAAGGAGGUGAUAGCUGUAGACUGGUGUCCCAACCAACCUGGACAAGAGUUGAAGCCCAGCAAAUCAACCAAAGGCUUUUAAAUGCUAUACGACAUGUAGAGUCCGGUGGAGAUAAUUGUGCAAUUGGUGACAAACAAUUUAGCAACAAAGCUUUGGGCCCAUACCAAAUUCGCAAGCCCUACUACGAU